RNAcentral lists this ribosomal RNA (243 nucleotides) under Enterobacter cloacae. RNAcentral's name for it is "partial 23S ribosomal RNA". It matches the Rfam family "Bacterial large subunit ribosomal RNA", at positions 2706 to 2925 of the family's 2925-position model. Lineage: Bacteria; Pseudomonadati; Pseudomonadota; Gammaproteobacteria; Enterobacterales; Enterobacteriaceae. The record is from RNAcentral.
UCACUGGUGUUCGGGUUGUCAUGCCAAUGGCACUGCCCGGUAGCUAAAUGCGGAAGAGAUAAGUGCUGAAAGCAUCUAAGCACGAAACUUGCCCCGAGAUGAGUUCUCCCUGAGACUUUAAGUCUCCUGAAGGAACGUUGAAGACGACGACGUUGAUAGGUCGGGUGUGUAAGCGCAGCGAUGCGUUGAGCUAACCGAUACUAAUGAACCGUGAGGCUUAACCUUACAACGCCGAAGGUGUUU